AAAUGAAUUAAGGCGUACGGUGGAGACCUAGGCACUCAGAGACGAAGAAGGGCGCAGAUACCGGCGAUACGCUUCGGGGAGCUGGCAACAAGCUGUGAUCCGGAGAUUCCCGAAUAGGGCAACCUCAUAGAACUACCUAUAUAAUUCAUAGUUAGGUAAGAGGCAACCCAGUGAACUGAAACAUCUAAGUAGCUGGAGGAAAAGAAAGCAAACGCGAUUCCCGUAGUAGCGGCGAGCGAACCGGGAACAGCCUAAACCUAUGUCGAAAGAUGUAGGGGUUAUGGGAGGACCCCCAUAAGGGGCAAUAAAUUAUUACUGCACCCACCUUUAUAAAGGUGGGGGGGGUCAUAAUUUUAAAAAUUUAAAAUUUUAAAUACGAAGCAGCUGAAUCCUGCACCAUAGAUGGUGAAAGU
This 413-nucleotide ribosomal RNA is filed under the name Chlamydomonas zebra. Its description in RNAcentral is "bacterial LSU rRNA". It matches the Rfam family "Bacterial large subunit ribosomal RNA", at positions 1 to 371 of the family's 2925-position model. The record is from RNAcentral. Lineage: Eukaryota; Viridiplantae; Chlorophyta; Chlorophyceae; Chlamydomonadales; Chlamydomonadaceae.